RNAcentral lists this ribosomal RNA (2945 nucleotides) under Desulfonatronum lacustre DSM 10312. Its description in RNAcentral is "bacterial LSU rRNA". It matches the Rfam family "Bacterial large subunit ribosomal RNA". The record is from RNAcentral. Lineage: Bacteria; Pseudomonadati; Thermodesulfobacteriota; Desulfovibrionia; Desulfovibrionales; Desulfonatronaceae.
CUAAGGGCAAUUGGCGGAUGCCUUGGUGCCAGGAGGCGAUGAAGGACGUGGAAGGCUGCGAUAAGCCUCGGUGAGCCGUCUAACAGGCUUUGACCCGGGGAUUUCCGAAUGGGGCAACCCGGCUGGAGUCAUGUCCAGUCAUCCGGAUUUAUCCGGAGGCGAACUCGGGGAAGUGAAACAUCUCAGUACCCGAAGGAAAAGAAAUCAAGAGAGAUUCCCAAAGUAGUGGCGAGCGAAAUGGGAAGAGCCCAAACCGUGCGGUUUCGACCGUGCGGGGUUGUAGGGCCUUCAUAAAGCGAUCUGCGAGUAGGUAGCGGAAGCACUUGGGAAGGUGCUCCAGAGAGGGUGACAGGCCCGUACGCGAAACCGAACAGCAGCGCUGAAGGUACCUGAGUACCGCGGGGCACGUGAAACCCCGUGGGAAUCCGGGAGGACCAUCUCCCAAGGCUAAAUACUCCCUGGCGACCGAUAGCGAACUAGUACCGUGAGGGAAAGGUGAAAAGAACCCCUGUUAGGGGAGUGAAACGAGAACCUGAAACCAAUUGCCUACAAGCGGUUCGAGCCAUUGUGCGUUUUCUUCGGAAGACGUUCAGGGUGAGAGCGUGCCUUUUGCAUAAUGAGCCAGCGAGUUUAUUUGUAGUGCGAGGUUAAGCCUUUCUGAGGCGUAGCCGCAGCGAAAGCGAGUCUGAAUAGGGCGAUUGAGUACUGCGGAUAAGACCCGAAACCGAGUGAUCUAUCCAUGGGCAGAGUGAAGCUUGGGUAAAACCAAGUGGAGGCUCGAACCAAUAAGGGCUGAAAACCUUUUGGAUGACCUGUGGAUAGGGGUGAAAGACCAAUCAAACUCGGUGAUAGCUGGUUCUCCCCGAAAUAUAUUGAGGUAUAGCCUCAGGUAAUUCGCGCACGGAGGUAGAGCACUGAAAGGGCUAGGGGCCCCACCAGGUUACCAAACCCUAUCAAACUCCGAAUGCCGUGCGUUUUAUCCUGGGAGUCAGACUGUGGGUGAGAAGGUCCAUAGUCAAGAGGGAAACAGCCCAGACCGUCGGCUAAGGCCUCCAAAUUCGUGCUCAGUGGGAAAGGAAGUGGAGUUGUUCAGACAGCCAGGAGGUUGGCUUAGAAGCAGCCAUCCUUUAAAGAAAGCGUAAUAGCUCACUGGUCUAGUGAUUCCGCGCCGAAAAUGUAACGAGGCUAAGCACGAUGCCGAAGCCACGGGUGUGCGUUUUAACGUACGCGGUAGGGGAGCGUUCCUCGCGGGAUGAAGGUGAACCGGAAGGUUUGCUGGACUUCGGGGAAGUGAUCAUGCUGGCAUGAGUAACGAUAAAANNNGUGAGAAACNNNUUCGCCGUAANCCCNAGGUUUCCUGGGUAAAGNUAAUCUNCCCAGGGUNAGUCGGCCCCUAAGGCGAGGCUGAAAAGCGUAGCUGAUGGGAAACAGGUUAAUAUUCCUGUACCUGUGAGACAUCGUUUGAGUGAUGGGGGGACGCGGAAGGGUAGGUCAUCCGGGUGUUGGAUGUCCCGGUUCAAGGUAGUAGGCUGGCUUCGUAGGCAAAUCCGCGAAGCUUUAAGCCGAGAACUGAUGACGAGUCUUUAAGACGAAGUGACUNAUCCCAUGCCGCCGAGAAAAGCCUCUAAACGAGAUGUCUUUCAGACCGUACCGCAAACCAACACAGGUGGGCGGGGAGAGUAUCCCAAGGCGCUUGAGAAAACUCUGGUCAAGGAACUCGGCAAAAUGACCCCGUAACUUCGGGAGAAGGGGUGCUCUUUUUUGUGAAGGGACUUGCUCCCUGAGCAUCGAAGAGUCGCAGAGAAACGGCGGGGGCGACUGUUUACUAAAAACACAGGUCUGUGCGAAGUCGUAAGACGCGGUAUACAGACUGACGCCUGCCCGGUGCCGGAAGGUUAAGGGGAGAGGUUAGGGCAACCGAAGCUUUGAACCGAAGCCCCGGUAAACGGCGGCCGUAACUAUAACGGUCCUAAGGUAGCGAAAUUCCUUGUCGGGUAAGUUCCGACCUGCACGAAUGGCGUAACGAUCUCCGCGCUGUCUCGACCAGAGACUCAGUGAAAUUGAAGUGGCGGUGCAAAUGCCGUCUACCCGCAGCAAGACGGAAAGACCCUGUGCACCUUUACUAUAACCUGGCAUUGGGUUUUGGGGCAUCAUGUGUAGGAUAGGUGGGAGGCUAUGAAGUCUGUACGCCAGUAUGGGCGGAGCCAUCGUUGAAAUACCACCCUUGUUGUUCUAAAACUCUAAUACUGGUCAGUGAACCCUGACCGUAGACAGUGCCAGGCGGGUAGUUUGACUGGGGCGGUCGCCUCCCAAAGAGUAACGGAGGCGUGCAAAGGUUCCCUCAGGCUGAUUGGAAACCAGCCGUUGAGUGCAAAGGCAUAAGGGAGCUUGACUGUGAGAGAGACAUCUCGAACAGGGACGAAAGUCGGCCUUAGUGAUCCGGUGGUCCCGCAUGGAAGGGCCAUCGCUCAUCGGAUAAAAGGUACGCCGGGGAUAACAGGCUGAUCGCGUCCAAGAGUUCACAUCGACGACGCGGUUUGGCACCUCGAUGUCGGCUCAUCACAUCCUGGGGCUGGAGCAGGUCCCAAGGGUACGGCUGUUCGCCGUUUAAAGUGGUACGCGAGCUGGGUUUAAAACGUCGUGAGACAGUUUGGUCCCUAUCUGCUGUGGGCGGAGGAGACUUGAGAGGGCCUGUCCCUAGUACGAGAGGACCGGGAUGGACGAACCUCUGGUGGACCAGUUGUCGCGCCAGCGGCACAGCUGGGUAGCUACGUUCGGCAAGGAUAACCGCUGAAAGCAUCUAAGCGGGAAGCCUGCCUCAAGAUUAGGUCUCCCUGGAAGUGAUUCCCUAAAGGUCCCUGGUAGACCACCAGGUUGAUAGGCUGGAGGUGUACGCGCAGCGAUGCGCUCAGCUGACCAGUACUAAUAGACCGUGAGUCUUAACC